This 1347-nucleotide ribosomal RNA is filed under the name uncultured bacterium. RNAcentral's name for it is "bacterial SSU rRNA". It matches the Rfam family "Bacterial small subunit ribosomal RNA", at positions 28 to 1381 of the family's 1533-position model. The record is from RNAcentral.
GAUGAACGCUGGCGGCGUGCCUAACACAUGCAAGUCGAGCGGGGUUUUAUCAGAGCUUGCUUUAAUAAAACCAAGCGGCGGACGGGUGAGUAACGCGUGGGUAACCUGCCCUAUACACAGGGAUAACAUUAAGAAAUUGAUGCUAAUACCAGAUAAGCUAACAGCUAGGCAUCUAGCAGUUAGAAAAACUGAGGUGGUAUAGGAGGGGCCCGCGUCUGAUUAGCUAGUUGGUGGGGUAAAGGCCUACCAAGGCGACGAUCAGUAGCCGACCUGAGAGGGUGAUCGGCCACAUUGGAACUGAGACACGGUCCAAACUCCUACGGGAGGCAGCAGUGGGGAAUAUUGCACAAUGGGGGGAACCCUGAUGCAGCAACGCCGCGUGAAGGAAGAAGUAUUUCGGUAUGUAAACUUCUAUCGAUAGGGAAGAAAGAAAUGACGGUACCUAAAUAAGAAGCACCGGCUAAAUACGUGCCAGCAGCCGCGGUAAUACGUAUGGUGCAAGCGUUAUCCGGAUUUACUGGGUGUAAAGGGUGAGUAGGCGGUUAAGCAAGUCAUAUGUGAAAUUCUGGGGCUCAACCUCAGAGCUGCAUAAGAAACUGUUUAACUAGAGUACAGGAGAGGUAAGCGGAAUUCCUAGUGUAGCGGUGAAAUGCGUAGAUAUUAGGAAGAACACCGGUGGCGAAGGCGGCUUACUGGACUGAAACUGACGCUGAGUCACGAAAGCGUGGGGAGCGAACAGGAUUAGAUACCCUGGUAGUCCACGCCGUAAACGAUGAGUGCUAGGUGUUGGGGAGAGAUUCUCGGUGCCGCAGCAAACGCAAUAAGCACUCCACCUGGGGAGUACGACCGCAAGGUUGAAACUCAAAGGAAUUGACGGGGACCCGCACAAGCGGUGGAGCAUGUGGUUUAAUUCGAAGCAACGCGAAGAACCUUACCUAAACUUGACAUACCAGUGACAGAUUAUGUAAUGUAAUUUUCCUUCGGGACAGUGGAUACAGGUGGUGCAUGGUUGUCGUCAGCUCGUGUCGUGAGAUGUUGGGUUAAGUCCCGCAACGAGCGCAAACCCCUAUACUUAGUAGCCAGCAUUAAGGAUGGGCACUCUAGGUAGACUGCCGUGGAUAACACGGAGGAAGGUGGGGAUGACGUCAAAUCAUCAUGCCCCUUAUGUUUAGGGCUACACACGUGCUACAAUGGCUGUAACAAAGUGAGGCGAGAUAGUGAUAUGGAGCAAAAGCACAGAAAAAACGGUCCCAGUUCGGAUUGUAGUCUGCAACUCGACUACAUGAAGAAUGGAAUCGCUAGUAAUCGCGAAAUCAGAAAUGUCGCGGUGAAUACGUUCCCGGGUCU